ACUGCUUGCCUCUGAGAUUAACAUUUGAGUCAGUGGGCUGGGGAAGGCAGACCGACCCUUAUCUGGUGGGCACAAUAUAAUCAGCUGUCAGCAAAUAUAAACAGGCAGAAAAACGUGAAGUGGCGAGACUGGCCUAGACUCUCAGCCUACAUUUUUCUCCCGUGCUGGAAGUUUCCUGCCCGCAAACACUGGACUCCAAUUUCUUCAGUUUUGAGACUCAGGCUGUCUCUCCUUUCUCCUCAGUCUUGCAGACAGUCCUAUUUUGGAACCUUGUGAUCAUGGAAGUUAAUACAUAAUAAACUUCCUUUGAUAUAUAUAU
Molecule: long non-coding RNA, 319 nt
Organism: Sapajus apella (tufted capuchin)
Lineage: Eukaryota; Metazoa; Chordata; Mammalia; Primates; Cebidae
Exons: 3
Source: RefSeq, a predicted model, not a curated record